Rhincodon typus (whale shark) is the source of this 373-nucleotide long non-coding RNA. RefSeq lists it as uncharacterized. The record is from RefSeq and is a predicted model, not a curated record. NCBI's taxonomy places the organism in Eukaryota, Metazoa, Chordata, Chondrichthyes, Orectolobiformes, Rhincodontidae. The transcript is spliced from 2 exons.
UCCGUUCUUUCUCCUUUCUGACAGCUGACAGUGCAAUGUUGAAAUGGUUUCCCGAGAUCAUUGCAUGUGGACUGAUCGUCAUCCUCUUUAUCCUACUGCUGCUCUGUUUCCUGUAAAAAGGUUCGAUGCUGCUUCGACCCUGCGCUGUCUUUGACAAAGACUAGAUUUUCCUGUCGAUGGACUGCUGAAUAUUUUAAAGCCAUCUUCGAUCUCCUUGACCCCAUCAGCAUUGACCAGGUCUUUCAUGAUUGAAAACUGGAUGAAUGUUGAGGGUCUGCCAUGAGGUAUAGAUAGAGUGGACAGCCACAGACUUUUUCCUAAGGUGGAGGUAGCUAUUACGAGGGGGCAUAGUCUUAAAGUGAGUGGAGGUAGA